GACGAACGCUGGCGGCGUGCUUAACACAUGCAAGUCGAACGCUGAAGCUCAGCUUUUGUUGGGUGGAUGAGUGGCGAACGGGUGAGUAACACGUGAGUAACCUGCCUCCUUCUUUGGGAUAACGCCCGGAAACGGUUUCUAAUACUGGAUAUUCUCUGGUCUUCGCCUGGGGGUUGGUGUAAAGGGUUUUUCUGGUGUGGGAUGGGUUCGCGGCCUAUCAGCUUGUUGGUGGGCUGAUGGCCUACCAAGGCUUUGACGGGUAGCCGGCAUGAGAGGGUGAACGGUCACAUUGGGACUGAGAUACGGCCCAGACUAGUACGGGAGGCAGAAGUGGGGAAUAUUGAAGAAUGGGCGCAAGCGCGAUGCAGCGACGCAGCAGAAGGGAUGGAGGCGUUUGGAUUGUGAACCUCUUUAGAUAAUGGUCAAGCAGCAACAAUGGUUGUAGUGAGGGUAGUGGGUAAAGAAGCGCCGGCUAACUACGUG
Molecule: ribosomal RNA, 483 nt
Filed under: uncultured bacterium
Lineage: Bacteria
Description: partial 16S ribosomal RNA
Rfam family: Bacterial small subunit ribosomal RNA
Source: RNAcentral